UAUGAAGAAGUGUUAGUAGGAGUGGAAUCCACUACAUAAACACUGUAGACUCAUUGCAUUUCAGGUCAGUAAAGGACCCCAAGGAGACCCUGGACUUUCACUGCUGGAAUCUUUCUUCCAAUCCACUUUGACAUGCUGGAUUUGGUUUUAAAAUAUAGUAGCAAAGGAAAGGACCUGUUUGAAAGCUGGCAUGGACAACAUGAUGGAGGGAGAAAGAAAGGAAUCUAGGAAAGUCUUCUGUACCAGAACCCAAAAGGGAUCAUGGCCAAACUCAACCACCCAACUCUGACAUCUAUGGUUGCUGUUCUAAUAUGGAUCCAUGCUUCAGUACUUACAAGAAUCCAUGACUUCAUUGAUGUGGGACCUUUCUCUCCUCUGAGGGAGAGUAGAGCCCUGCCAUGCCUUAGUAGGCAGUCAUCAGGAGCUGCUGUAGCCAGAAAACCAUCAUCACCUGGUAGGCAGCCUUCUGCUGAUGGGCCUCUCUGAACUAAUCUUGGCCGGUCCUUGGAUGACAGACACUAGGCCAAUACUUGAAGCCUAUCCAGCCCUGGGUAGGACCUGCCAGGGCUUGAAUUCUAUGGACAUAACCUACCCAGAAUAGCCUCUGUUCCAUAGUGAGGAAUAAGAGGAGGACUUUGGUGGAGGACAACAUGAUUAUAACAAUCUGAUUUUUUAAAUCAACAAUUAAACUGCUAAUGAACCAUUA
This 706-nucleotide long non-coding RNA is filed under the name Phascolarctos cinereus (koala). RNAcentral describes it as "lncRNA (ENSPCIG00000033929.1)". The record is from RNAcentral. Lineage: Eukaryota; Metazoa; Chordata; Mammalia; Diprotodontia; Phascolarctidae.